UGGGGAAUAUUGCACAAUGGGGGAAACCCUGAUGCAGCGACGCCGCGUGAGCGAAGAAGUAUUUCGGUAUGUAAAGCUCUAUCAGCAGGGAAGAAAAUGACGGUACCUGACUAAGAAGCCCCGGCUAACUACGUGCC
This 137-nucleotide ribosomal RNA is filed under the name uncultured bacterium. RNAcentral describes it as "partial 16S ribosomal RNA". It matches the Rfam family "Bacterial small subunit ribosomal RNA", at positions 355 to 509 of the family's 1533-position model. The record is from RNAcentral.